This 254-nucleotide non-coding RNA is filed under the name uncultured Armatimonadota bacterium. Its description in RNAcentral is "uncultured Armatimonadetes bacterium contains 16S-23S intergenic spacer region". It matches the Rfam family "Bacterial small subunit ribosomal RNA", at positions 524 to 776 of the family's 1533-position model. The record is from RNAcentral. Lineage: Bacteria; Bacillati; Armatimonadota. RNAcentral also lists the same sequence under 1 other name.
GACGUAGGGUCCAAGCGUUGUCCGGAUUUACUGGGCGUAAAGAGCACGUAGGCGGCUUGUUAAGUGUGAAGUGAAAUCUCCAGAGCUCAACUCGGAAACCGCUUCGCAGACUGGCUAGCUAGAGGGAUGCAGAGGUGAAUGGAAUUCCUGGUGUAGCGGUGAAAUGCAUAGAUAUCAGGAGGAACACCCAUGGCGAAGGCAGUUCACUGGGCAUUACCUGACGCUGAGGUGCGAAAGCGUGGGGAGCAAACAGG